Molecule: ribosomal RNA, 482 nt
Filed under: uncultured eukaryote
Lineage: Eukaryota
Description: bacterial SSU rRNA
Rfam family: Eukaryotic small subunit ribosomal RNA
Source: RNAcentral
GGCGACGGGCGUUCUCGCCGGGAUGUAGGAACCGACCCGGGGGACCGGCCGGGGGCAACCCGGCGCCCCCGAGACGGGGGCGAACCACGGUGAAAUGACGGAUCGUCGGCCCCGCGCCGGCGACUCGCCGAAUGAGUUUCUGACCUAUCAACUCGAGACGGGCGGGGUAGAGGCCCGCCGCGGUAACGACGGGUAACGGGGAAUCAGGGUUCGAUUCCGGAGAGGGGAGCCCGAGAAACGGCUACCACUUCCAAGGAAGGCAGCAGGCGCGCAACUUACCCUAAUCUCGAUUCGAGGAGGUAGUGACAAGAAAUACCGAUGCGGGGACCCUACGGGUGCCGCGUUCGGAAUGAGUACGAUUCGAACCACCUAACGAGGAACGAUCGGAGGGCAAGUCUGGUGCCAGCAGCCGCGGUAAUUCCAGCUCCAAUAGCGUACGUUAAAGUUGCUGCAGUUAAAAAGCUCGUAGUUGAACGUUCGGG